GUGGGGGAUAACGUCCGGAAACGGGCGCUAAUACCGCAUACGUCCUGAGGGAGAAAGUGGGGGAUCUUCGGACCUCACGCUAUCAGAUGAGCCUAGGUCGGAUUAGCUAGUUGGUGGGGUAAAGGCCUACCAAGGCGACGAUCCGUAACUGGUCUGAGAGGAUGAUCAGUCACACUGGAACUGAGACACGGUCCAGACUCCUACGGGAGGCAGCAGUGGGGAAUAUUGGACAAUGGGCGAAAGCCUGAUCCAGCCAUGCCGCGUGUGUGAAGAAGGUCUUCGGAUUGUAAAGCACUUUAAGUUGGGAGGAAGGGCAGUAAGUUAAUACCUUGCUGUUUUGACGUUACCAACAGAAUAAGCACCGGCUAACUUCGUGCCAGCAGCCGCGGUAAUACGAAGGGUGCAAGCGUUAAUCGGAAUUACUGGGCGUAAAAGCGCGCGUAGGUGGUUCAGCAAGUUGGAUGUGAAAUCCC
Molecule: ribosomal RNA, 473 nt
Filed under: Pseudomonas sp. D10
Lineage: Bacteria; Pseudomonadati; Pseudomonadota; Gammaproteobacteria; Pseudomonadales; Pseudomonadaceae
Description: bacterial SSU rRNA
Rfam family: Bacterial small subunit ribosomal RNA
Source: RNAcentral